UUCUCCAGCUCCAUCCCGCCAUCCCUCGCCCUUCCUCGCCUCCCUCUUCCUCCCUGCUCUCCCCCGCCUGUGAAACAAGAAGGCUUUGUCUGCUCGCCCCGUUCAGAGCAGCACGAAUGGCCUGAACUUUCCCUGAGUGAGUUUUUCCCCUCCAGCAGGAUUUUGUGCUGUGCCGAUGCCAGGGAUUAACUAAGAGCAUGACUCAACGAACCAGUUCAGACCAAGCAAGAACAACCCUUCAUUUUUCUUCCAAGACUCUGGCUCAGCCCAGCACAGGCUGUUCUGAAGCAUUAGAAAAGGGCAGUUAAGUUGAAAUAUGACUUUUUAAACAGUUUAUUACUUUUCCUGUCCUUUGUGUUGCAGCUGAUAUGGGAGGAUGAUGGAAACACAGUCGAGGAGAUCGUUCCAAGAGCUGCUUCCAAGCCUGAGAGCCCCGGUGCUGCCAAGAGCUCACCAGGAACAACCCACACUGCUUGGGAUUGCCCAGGUGGGAUCCCACGUGUGCACUGCUCAUCCUGGAUAAGAAACAUCCUGGAGACAUUGGUGAGGCCCUGGCACAGGGUGCCCAGAGAAGCUGUGGCUGCCCCUGGAUCCCUGGCAGUGCCCAAGGCCAGGCUGGAUGGGGUUUGGAGCAGCCUGGGAUGGUGGAAAAUGUCCAGGCUCACGGCAGGGUGAAGAAGGAAACUUUCUGCUUCCAAACAACCAGCGCUUUCUGUUCAGCAGUGACCUCAGUGGGAAGAAAAAUUGCUGCACAAAAGGGACGGGGAGCUGACGCCAGGAGCAAAACCCCGGCGCUGGUCCCACGAGUGGUUCUGGGUGGGUCCAGACAAAGAGUUUUUCAGAGCUUUUGUAAAAAUAGUGGAAUAAAAAUCCCUCAAAAAUCUGGCUUGCCUUUUUUCUUCUUUUUUUCUUUUUUGAGAACUCCAGAGCGCCGUUGGUUACACCAGAACCUUCCUGGCUUGGCCACUACAGCAGAAAUAUCCAGAUCUUUCGCAUUUAGUCAUCUCUCUGGGCUUCUUUUGCUCCCU
Molecule: long non-coding RNA, 1028 nt
Organism: Prinia subflava (tawny-flanked prinia)
Lineage: Eukaryota; Metazoa; Chordata; Aves; Passeriformes; Cisticolidae
Exons: 3
Source: RefSeq, a predicted model, not a curated record